Molecule: ribosomal RNA, 440 nt
Filed under: uncultured bacterium
Lineage: Bacteria
Description: bacterial SSU rRNA
Rfam family: Bacterial small subunit ribosomal RNA
Source: RNAcentral
AACGCGAAGAACCUUACCUGGGCUCGAAAUGUAGAGGACAGCGUCAGAAACGGCGCAUCUCGAAAGGGUCUUUACAUAGGUGCUGCAUGGCUGUCGUCAGCUCGUGCCGUGAGGUGUUUGGUUAAGUCCAGCAACGAGCGCAACCCUUAUCGUUAGUUGCCAGCGCGUGAAGGCGGGAACUCUAACGAGACUGCCUGGGUUAACCAGGAGGAAGGUGAGGAUGAUGUCAAGUCCGCAUGGCCUUUAUGUCCAGGGCUACACACGUGCUACAAUGGUUGGUACAGAAGGCAGCGAAACCGCAAGGUGGAGCAAAUCCUACAAAACCGAUCUCAGUUCAGAUUGUAGACUGCAACUCGUCUACAUGAAGUUGGAAUUGCUAGUAAUGGCGUGUCAGCAACAACGCCGUGAAUACGUUCCCGGGCCUUGUACACACCGGAGUA